CUUUUUUCUCGCUAUUGAAAUCUCUUCUCUCUAUGGAUACUGUUAUGUAUAUAUUUUUGUACCCUGCACAAUAAUGAAUCCAGACCAGUAUUCUCCAAAGUUGACCCCUCUGUAGGGCCUGCUUGUUUUUCUCCUGAACAUAGGAGCGGGCCCCGAUUUUAUAAAAGUUGUGGUGGUUCUAGUGGCAUUAGGAGAAGUGGCCUAGAGGCUGCUGGUUAUGAUCAGAAUGAAGAUGAGAUUGGAAAUGUAAUUAUUGUUUGUGUAGUUAUUCAGCUACUUCAGCUCUGUUGAGAAGCUAGUGAGAUUCGGCUCACUCUUUUCACCCAGUCCUCCAAUACAUCAAGCUGUGAAUAGAGCAACAUGUUUGUAUCAUUCAUCAGUCAAGAAAACAGCUGAGUACAUGUGUAGCCUGAUGAGAUUUCUGGUUCACCAGUAGGCUGUGGUGUGCAUUUAAGUCUGCUUCGGAUGCCUGUGAGAGAGGCUGUACUUCUGCACAAUGUCCAAUGUUUGUACAAACUAUUAGUUGGAUGUGUAGUGUUUGUCACUUGACUUCAGUGUGUCUGUGGUGUGUUGAAUUGCAAUGUAGACCUCUGGGUGAUUUUUAAAAUAAUUAACGUUUUGGUUUUUGGAAAUGAGGAAGUGACACGGCGGUUUCUGUAACAUCAUGCCCGAGUGCACUUGUAUCCGCAAGAAAUAACCGUGUGGCCUUCUAUCCAUUUUGAAAGGCUAGCAUUGUGUAUUAAGAGAAGGUACAGAGGGUCUCAGGCCCUGGUGAGAAAUGAGGACAUGUUGUAGCUCCUGGAAGAACUGGUAGAACCGUUGCAUUUAUUUCAGCUGCAUUUCAUCUCUUUUGUAAGGUUGAACUUAGCAGCGUCACAAGACUUUUAGCCAUUUGAUACUAAAUGUCAUGGAUUAGCCAGAAAAUAACCUUUGACUGAAUCAAUGAAUUCUUGCCCCAGCUUUUUGUGGACUCUCUCGGAUAGUCCUGCUUCACCUGUGGAGCAGAUCUGUAGACCGCAGCAGUCGCAUCCUUUCAGUCACAAGGAGGUGCAGAGAUGGAACAAAUUAAGUCAAGAAAAUAACUAAUAUUCAUGAUGGUGAUGGAACGAGUGAACAUGAACUAAUGAGGAAAAAAGCAUAGAUCAAAUGUUGCCAGUGGAAUUUCUUUUUUUCUCUUUUUUUUAAUGCAAUGACAUUUGUUUAUUUUCUGAAUAUUUUAAUGUGAAAAGAACAAUACACUGGCCUUAGGGUCCCUGUCUCAACACCAUGUGAUUUAGAUUGUCUACAAUGACCACUACUAAUGAUGUUGUUGUAGCACUGAAAGUUGAGACUUACUUGAAAGUUUUGCUCUUCAAUAAAUUUGAAGACCGAAAAAGCAAUUGUCUCAAUCAUUGCUUUUUGGCUUCAGAGUAUCAAUUCAA
Molecule: long non-coding RNA, 1421 nt
Organism: Oncorhynchus tshawytscha (Chinook salmon)
Lineage: Eukaryota; Metazoa; Chordata; Actinopteri; Salmoniformes; Salmonidae
Source: Ensembl